UGAACGCUGGCGGCAUGGCUAAGACAUGCAAGUUGAACGGACCAUUUUGAAGAGUAAUCGGAUUCAUGGUUAGUGGCGAAAGGGUGAGGAAUAGAUAGGUAACGUACCGCGGGCUCUGGAAUAGCUCAUCGAAAGAUGGGGUAAUGCCGGAUGAUGUCCUCUGUUUAAUUCAGAGGACCAAAGAUUUAUCGGCCUGUGAGCGGCCUAUCUCCUAUCAGCUUGUUGGUGAGGUAACGGCUCACCAAGGCGACGACGGGUAGCGGGACUGAGAGGUUGGCCCGCCACAUCGGAACUGAGACACUGUCCGGACCUCCACGGAGGGCUGCAGUAACGAAUAUUGGGCAAUGGGCGAAAGCCUGACCCAGCAAUGCCGCGUGUAGGAUGAAGCCUUUCGGGGUGUAAACUACUUUCAGGGAUUAGAAAGCUUCGGUUGAUCAGUCCCAGAAGAAGUCACGGCUAACUUC
RNAcentral lists this ribosomal RNA (464 nucleotides) under uncultured bacterium. Its description in RNAcentral is "bacterial SSU rRNA". It matches the Rfam family "Bacterial small subunit ribosomal RNA", at positions 30 to 504 of the family's 1533-position model. The record is from RNAcentral.